Thunnus maccoyii (southern bluefin tuna) is the source of this 3135-nucleotide long non-coding RNA. RefSeq lists it as uncharacterized. The transcript has 9 exons. The record is from RefSeq and is a predicted model, not a curated record. NCBI's taxonomy places the organism in Eukaryota, Metazoa, Chordata, Actinopteri, Scombriformes, Scombridae.
CCACAGUCACACUCAUACACUAUGGAGCGCUUUGGUCAACAUUACAAUAACAGACGGUUCAGUCUGGCAAAAGCAAUUUUCAUAGCGGCCAUCGUUUUAUUAAUGUCGUUUAACUAAAAAGGCACAGUCGACGUUUAGCUGUAAUUAUCACACAUUGUGUUGAUGCAUAGAUUGAAUGUGCUGACUCGCCAGAAUGGCCUGAAGAAAGUUUUUUUCCCCAAGAGUUGUUAGUUAGUUUUUUUGUGCAUCAUGAACAAACGUUAGGGCAAAAAUAAUUUACGUAUGUUGCAAAAUCAGAUAAUUUACAGAAACGUAAAGGUAAACAAGCAUGGAAAUAUAUAUGUUACCUUAAUUACUGAAAAUAUAAACCACAAAUGCACAUAAAUCUAAUAACAUAUACUACUCUGCUGUCAUUUGUUGACACAGUUUCCAUGUUUUCCACGAAUUACAUGUCACUUCUAUCUAACUUGUAUAUAAUGAAAUGUAUACUUCACAGUCAGCGUCUAUGCUUUUUUUUUGAUGAACCUACAACCCCUCUAAUGGUAUUAAUAUAUCCGAUAGUCCCUGAAGGCCGCAUAAGACAUGGGAAACCACGCCUCUUUACACACAAACUGCUGCACUGCUUAACCAUCCAUUUAGUAAAGUUAUCGACUUUCCAAGAAACAACCAUAAUGCCAAAAAACGAAAAGUGUUUAAGGUUAGUUGUGCAGUGUUAUAAAUGCACAUAUUAUAAUUUGUGAAAAAGUCACCGCCAACAAAGACCGACAGAUACUAGACCAAAACAAACUUUCCAAGUUGCAUCAAUUAGCAACACCUGUGUCAUUCAGGGAUGCUGGGCUACUUUCCACAUAAACCUGUUCAUUCCCCGGGGGGUAUGAAGGACACAAGGUGUGAUUUACAACUUCUAUUGAUGCAGUGGGGUACCCAAUUUCAUGGAGAGGCUGUCUGAAAGGAUAAAAAGGUCCAUGGGAGGUCUGAAGGUCCAGAGUCAGCAAAAUCCAUCUGGUUCUGUCAGCAACCUUCAGAGAAGAGCUUUGCAUUGCAGCAGAAUGGCGAAACACGCGAAGACGGUCGAGUAGGCAGACGUGGAUGGGCUGAUAAGUAGCAACUCAACCCCCACCCUUCACCACUGGAUGAGGCAUGGAGAAGGCCGCCCCCUGCCGCCACUGAGGACAACUACACUAAUACAGACAAGCGCGCCUCAACAGUUACACACUCAAGAGUUGGGGUUUUGCCGUAUGCAACUAGCUACCAUCUCCAACGCUUGUGCAAAACAGAAAAGAAAACUGGCUAGUCAGGAGCCGGACACAAGGGUGAACGGUGUGCCGAGAACUGGAGAAACCCGGGGCGAUGGAAAGAGAAAGGAGGAUCACAUCACCUCGCCCACACAGCCUCUCACCUCGACACACUGAGGUCAGAAAAAUCACACAGGUUUCUUAAAGUUCCAGACACAAUAUUUUUUUUGUCCAAGAAGUGGUUGUCUUUUACAUAUAGUCCAUUUUUUGUCAGUUCCUCAGUGGCACUUUACAAAUACAUUUUUGACCGUUUUGAAAAUUUCAAGCUCCUUUGGUUUUUGGCUGACCAACUAAGUCCAUCUUGUUUGAUUUCUCCACACAAAAGUCUUUAAAUAAGAACAUCCUGGGAAAGAAGUGCUACUCUCUCUCAACUGAGCCCCUUUAGGUAGCAGUCAGCCGUCUCUGGCUACACUGUAUUGAAUCGUUCCUCUUAUUUUUAAUGAGCAAGCAGUUUCUUACCCAGUACAUUUCAGUCAGCUCUUCCCUUUCCCUCCUCCAGGGUUGGCGUAGAUAUCUGGGCAGUCAGGAUCUUGGGCAGCUGCUGAUUGUGUAUGUAUCUGUGCGUGUGUGUGUGUGUGUGUGUGUCUGUGUGUGUGCUUUGAUAGACCAUCGCCGUGGCGACACAAGAUUGGAAGUGGCAAGAGCCAGACAAAGACUGCUCCUGGUGUUGGAUUAGCAGUCAAAACACUGUCGUCCAGAGUUGGUUGUGUGCUUCUUAUAGAGGAUCCAACUUAGGUCGGGGCCUCCAGGGUUUUGUCUAAUAGUUUAAUUUGCAGUAGCCACAUAAGCCAGAUGGAAGCAGAAAUCAUGAGCAUUUUCUUUUAAGUAAAUGUACGCUGGGCAGGAAAAAUGUGCGAAUGUUGCAAAGGGCUAUAGGUUGGGGAUGCUCUGGUUUGUAAAGUUUAAGUGUCAGUCAAGUUUCAAUAAAGGAAAAGUUCAGAGAAGCACUAAUCCUUCCCUACUCCCAUCAGUCUUUAUCUUAAAUACAACUCCAGCUACAUUGAACACAAGAACAUUCUAGGUUUGCCUGGACUCACCCCAAAUUUCGCAGAUAUGUAUGCUUCGCUUGUAGGUACAGUGUAAACUUGGCAAACCACCCUUGCAUUAAUUUUCUUCAGAGGUGUUCAUUUGGCUUGCAGUCAUCAUUUUUGAUAUUUCCUCUUGAUUCCGUAUAUUGAAUAUAGAACUACAAUAAAUUGGACUCUAGAGAUGGUUUUAUUUUAUCUAUCCUAUUUUGAAAAAAGUUCUCAACAAAAUGGACUCCCAACAUUAUGGUUUUUAGUGUAAAUUCUUGAAGGCAACAUAAAAAUGUUUUUUUCCCAUCUUUUCUUCCAACAGGGGGACUGAAGUAUGCCAAUAUGGCCAGCUUUCAAGCAAUCACCCCUUGAAGCUCUCCCUGUGGUGAAGCUGAAGGAUCCCCUGCAUUGCACUGUGGGAGACGCCAACCUCAGCUCUGAACCACCCUUCAGAUAUUCAGUGCGCCCUGGGAAGUGCGGUCCUCAGCUCUCCAGACUCAUGAAGGCCACCACCUGCUCCAGCUUGAAGGCCAGCCUCUGUUUCCUGGCUCCAUCGUCCUGCUCCAGUGCACACACAAUCUGCCAGCAGGACAUUGAGCCCCAGCCACUCGAGAGGAUGAGAGAGAGAGUAUUUGUCAGGAAGCAAAUCUUCAGAGCAAACUGACUAAAGGAAAGGCAGAGAUGUAAAGAAAAGUAGAUUUCCCUUCUUAAACAUAUUUCCAUUAGACUGCGCACCAGGCAGCUCACCUCUCCACCCAGCUCUUGUAGCUGGGGAUGUCCUUGGCAUAAAGCAGCUUGUUAGAGGGUGAGUCCUUCCCAAGGCG